UCUAUACUGGUGAAACUGCGAAUGGCUCAUUAAAUCAGUUAUCGUUUAUUUGAUAGUACCUUACUACUUGGAUAACCGUGGUAAUUCUAGAGCUAAUACAUGCUAAAAACCCCGACUUCGGAAGGGGUGUAUUUAUUAGAUAAAAAACCAAUGCCCUUCGGGGCUCCUUGGUGAAUCAUGAUAACUUAACGAAUCGCAUGGCCUUGCGCCGGCGAUGGUUCAUUCAAAUUUCUGCCCUAUCAACUUUCGAUUGUAGGAUAGUGGCCUACAAUGGUUUCAACGGGUAACGGGGAAUUAGGGUUCUAUUCCGGAGAGGGAGCCUGAGAAACGGCUACCACAUCCAAGGAAGGCAGCAGGCGCGCAAAUUACCCAAUCCCGAUACGGGGAGGUAGUGACAAUAAAUACUGAUACAGGGCUCUUUUGGGUCUUGUAAUUGGAAUGAGUACAAUUUAAAUACCUUAACGAGGAACAAUUGGAGGGCAAGUCUGGUGCCAGCAGCCGCGGUAAUUCCAGCUCCAAUAGCGUAUAUUAAAGUUGUUGCAGUUAAAAAGCUCGUAGUUGAACCUUGGGCCUGGCUGGCCGGUCUGCCUCACCGCAUGUACUGGUUCGGCCGGGUCUUUCCUCCUGGGGAUCCGCAUGCCCUUCACUGGGUGUGUUGGGGAACCAGGACUUUUACUUUGAAAAAAUUAGAGUGUUCAAAGCAGGCCUUUGCUCGAAUACAUUAGCAUGGAAUAAUAGAAUAGGACGUGCGGUCCUAUUUUGUUGGUUUCUAGGACCGCCGUAAUGAUUAAUAGGGAUAGUCGGGGGCAUCAGUAUUCAGUUGUCAGAGGUGAAAUUCUUGGAUUUACUGAAGACUAACUACUGCGAAAGCAUUUGCCAAGGAUGUUUUCAUUAAUCAGUGAACGAAAGUUAGGGGAUCGAAGACGAUCAGAUACCGUCGUAGUCUUAACCGUAAACUAUGCCGACUAGGGAUCGGGCGAUGUUAUUCUUUUGACUCGCUCGGCACCUUACAAGAAAUCAAAGUCUUUGGGUUCUGGGGGGAAUAUGGUCCCAAGGUGAACUUAAGAAAUAGUAGGGAGAGAAAGAAAAAAAAAAACUGCGAUGCUGAAUAAGGGGAGUGAGUGGAUUGU
Molecule: ribosomal RNA, 1130 nt
Filed under: Lasiodiplodia theobromae
Lineage: Eukaryota; Fungi; Ascomycota; Dothideomycetes; Botryosphaeriales; Botryosphaeriaceae
Description: SSU rRNA
Rfam family: Eukaryotic small subunit ribosomal RNA
Source: RNAcentral